Molecule: long non-coding RNA, 311 nt
Organism: Pongo pygmaeus (Bornean orangutan)
Lineage: Eukaryota; Metazoa; Chordata; Mammalia; Primates; Hominidae
Exons: 3
Source: RefSeq, a predicted model, not a curated record
AUGAGGCUGAGGGUCCUGUGUAGCAGAUAAGCUGACAGCUGCUGGAGUCCCAGGUAAGCUGACAGCUGUGGAGUCCCAGACAGAUUAGGAAACAAAAAGAAGUGAGAAGGAACCAAAUCUGGAUUAUAAUGUGGAUGCCUAAUGAUUUCCCAUUGAAACACUUACAAAAUUGCCUGUCUGAUGAGAGGAAUGAGCAGGAGCAUUGUCUUGGUGAAGGACUCUGAUGAAGAUUUUUCCAGGUUUCUCGUACAGCACAGAACAGAGGCUGAGAAGAAAGAGAGCUCUGAAGAGUCAGCAGAAGGGGGAACGGG